This 253-nucleotide ribosomal RNA is filed under the name uncultured bacterium. RNAcentral's name for it is "partial 16S ribosomal RNA". It matches the Rfam family "Bacterial small subunit ribosomal RNA", at positions 524 to 776 of the family's 1533-position model. The record is from RNAcentral.
UACGUAGGGUGCAAGCGUUGUCCGGAAUUAUUGGGCGUAAAGCGCUUGUAGGCGGUUUGUCGCGUCUGCUGUGAAAUUUCGGGGCUCAACCCCGAACUUGCAGUGGGUACGGGCAGACUAGAGUGUGGUAGGGGAGACUGGAAUUCCUGGUGUAGCGGUGAAAUGCGUAGAUAUCAGGAGGAACACCGGUGGCGAAGGCGGGUCUCUGGGCCGAUACUGACGCUGAGGAGCGAAAGCGUGGGGAGCGAACAGG